Acanthochromis polyacanthus (spiny chromis) is the source of this 2310-nucleotide long non-coding RNA. RefSeq lists it as uncharacterized. NCBI's taxonomy places the organism in Eukaryota, Metazoa, Chordata, Actinopteri, Pomacentridae. The transcript is spliced from 7 exons. The record is from RefSeq and is a predicted model, not a curated record.
GAAGACACUUGCUGUCUUCUACCAUCGGUGCAAAGAGGACAUUGUGUAUCUAGAUGCAACUGGAAGUGUGAUUCAAAAGGAAAGGCGGGAAGUCCACCGUUUUACGUGUAUGAGCUGGUAGUUAGGAAUCCUUCAAAGGGGGCAUCACCGCUGCCUGUAGCUACAUAUGUGACAUGUGACCACACGACAGCAUCCGUCAAUUAUUUUUUUGCAAGCGUUCCAGACAGACGUCAUGAGGUUUUAUGGAAAGACGGCCACGAUGAGGCCAGUCAUGUUUAUUUGUGAUGGUUCUAUGGUUCUUCUCCACCCCCUUUCAUUAACAUUUUGUAGGUCUGGUUUGGAGGAUCUACUACAAAAUACUUCAUCUUGGCAACUGGACAGCAUCCCACUGACAGGUUUCAGCUGCCAAUUAUUCACAGAUGUCUCAGCCACAUUAUGAAAAAUGCAAAGGAUCUUUGCAAGAAAACAUAAGUGCAUCUAUAAUAACAUUUAUUUAUUUAUUAUAACAUAAUAAUAAAAGCAGUUACACUGAUCACAAUAUUUAUAUAUAUGUAUACCUUUGCAGAAUUCCAAAGCACUACAAGCUUGGCAUGCACCUUUUUGGACUCCUAGCAUGUUCUUCCACUCUCAAAGACAUGUAUGAGAUUCUUUAAAGUGCCACAGUUGUCUUCUGCAGCCCUUUCACGGGAGAUAAUGUGAAAAAGCACUUCAACAGCCUUCAAGUGCUAAUGAGAGAAAGAGGAACCAUUGAUGUGGAUUUCAAAAUGAAACCUGAAGCAUGAGAUGGGAAACACACCACUGAAGGAAUAUUUUCAGGAGGCAAUUUCCAAGGCACCACUUGACUUGGAUGGUGAAGAUAAUGUUUAUCAUGCGCCAGGAUUUAUUUCAUUUUGGCCAAAUACUUCCUUCCACAUGCCACCCUGUGGUCUGGUAUGAUGCUUGGAAAUCUUGGUCGUCAUGGGACAGGGCCAGCAUAUCAGCAUCUGAAUAAGCUUAUAAUGAUGUCCGACAAUCCAAGAAACAGAACUUCACAGACAACAACAGGACACAGGGCAUUAUGGAAAAAGUCAGUGGGACCUGAAGAGAAUAAGGUUUCAGAGACGACGAUUCACCAGACUGGAUGACUUUGUGACCAAAUACCAAAAAGUGCAUGACGCAUUGCUCCUGGAAUAUGCGGACACAGAAAGAUCCAGAAAGAAAAAAUCCUUCAACGUGGAUGAGGAGAAAUGGAAGGCGCGAAGUCUGAAACAUAAAGGAGUAUAUGUUUCAUCCCUUUUGACUGGCCUGCCAAUGAAAAAACAGAAACAGAGAAAGGCUACUGCUGAAGACAUCGGUAUUGGAACUGAACAGAAGCAGAAAAUGUCAACUCAGUUAAACCAAGAGAACAAAGACGACAUGGAAACUGAUACUCAAUCUACAUGCAACAUGACAGAGCAUGAGGCAGAGGGCCAACAGACACCUUCCAGUAGCAGUAAACCAGAUACUCCAACACAGGUCAUGCAAUGGAGAGCUCGAUGUUGUCAAUACAGAGUACACUGAAAUGUAUUUCAUGUGUAUUGAAAAGUGAACUGCUCUACAAUCAGUUAUUGCCUGCUAUUUGUUAACAUCUAUUUCCAUUUGCUUCUGACAAAGUUAAGUGUUUGUUGCUUUAAAUAUUAAUAGAGCCAAAUUAGUAGUAGAGAACCACUGGAGCGGCAAGUCGUUGAGCAUUUUCUUUUAAAAUUUGUUUUUUGUAAUUUUGAGCAAAACAUAAGUAGAAUUUUGACAAUGUAGGAAAAAUAAUUACUGAAAGUCGAUGACUUGAUUCGCUGUGGCAACCCCUUAAGGGAAGAAGGCAAAAGGAGAAGAAGAAUUACUAAAAGACAGUUAAAGGAAUUGUACAGUGGCUUACUGUAUGUAUACCCCAACUUAGCAAAACAGUAUCUGUGUUUCUAACAUGAAUAAUAAUGUAUUAUUUUGAUGUCUGACAGUUUGCUACUUUGUGGAACAAAUCAGACACAGAAGUGGUUAUUGCUGUGGUUCCCUCUCAAAAUAGAGGCUACAACUACACAGUCCGGCACAUUGACUUCAACACACUGAGAUCUCACAAGUGGCUGACAGGCGAGGUUUGUAAUCCUAAAAUAUCAGCAUGUUAAAUAAAUAUUAUGUAGCGACAGUUGUACUUAACUGCAGUUCUCUUCCAGCUUGAGUGUACAGUAGAUACCCAUGUGAUGCUGGUGUGAUUUGCCAUCGUUAUAAAAAUAUUUUUUUCUUAAAAUGGGUGUUGAAAUGCAUCCAGUGAUAUAUUCACUGCAAAGAAUGCCAUUUGUA